GAUGAACGCUGGCGGCGUGCCUAAUACAUGCAAGUCGAGCGAACAGACGAGGAGCUUGCUCCUCUGACGUUAGCGGCGGACGGGUGAGUAACACGUGGAUAACCUACCUAUAAGACUGGGAUAACUUCGGGAAACCGGAGCUCAUACCGGAUAAUAUAUUGAACUGCAUGGUUCUAUAGUGAAAGACGGUUUUGCUGUCACUUAUAGAUGGAUCCGCGCCGCAUUAGCUAGUUGGUAAGGUAACGGCUUACCAAGGCAACGAUGCGUAGCCGACCUGAGAGGGUGAUCGGCCACACUGGAACUGAGACACGGUCCAGACUCCUACGGGAGGCAGCAGUAGGGAAUCUUCCGCAAUGGGCGAAAGCCUGACGGAGCAACGCCGCGUGAGUGAUGAAGGUCUUCGGAUCGUAAAACGCUGUUAUUAGGGAAGAACAAAUGUGUAAGUAACUAUGCACGUCUUGACGGUACCUAAUCAGAAAGCCACGGCUAACUACGUG
RNAcentral lists this ribosomal RNA (497 nucleotides) under uncultured bacterium. Its description in RNAcentral is "partial 16S ribosomal RNA". It matches the Rfam family "Bacterial small subunit ribosomal RNA", at positions 28 to 507 of the family's 1533-position model. The record is from RNAcentral.